Molecule: unclassified non-coding RNA, 308 nt
Filed under: uncultured Hypocreales
Lineage: Eukaryota; Fungi; Ascomycota; Sordariomycetes; Hypocreales
Description: sequence contains ITS1
Rfam family: 5.8S ribosomal RNA (bases 1-105)
Source: RNAcentral
GAAAUGCGAUAAGUAAUGUGAAUUGCAGAAUUCAGUGAAUCAUCGAAUCUUUGAACGCACAUUGCGCCCGCCAGCAUUCUGGCGGGCAUGCCUGUCCGAGCGUCAUUUCAACCCUCAGGCUCCCGCGCCUGGCGUUGGGGAUCGGCCUUCACCGGCCGGCCCCGAAAUACAGUGGCGGCCCCGCCGUAGACCUCCUCUGCGUAGUAGCACACACCUCGCAGCCUGGGAGCGCGGCGGCGGCCACGCCGGAAAACCCCCGACUUCUGAAAGUUGACCUCGGAUCAGGUAGGAAUACCCGCUGAACUUAA